This is a transfer RNA of Verticillium longisporum, 89 nucleotides long. It matches the Rfam family "tRNA". From Rfam's summary of the family: Transfer RNA (tRNA) molecules are approximately 80 nucleotides in length. Their secondary structure includes four short double-helical elements and three loops (D, anti-codon, and T loops). Further hydrogen bonds mediate the characteristic L-shaped molecular structure. tRNAs have two regions of fundamental functional importance: the anti-codon, which is responsible for specific mRNA codon recognition, and the 3' end, to which the tRNAs corresponding amino acid is attached (by aminoacyl-tRNA synthetases). tRNAs cope with the degeneracy of the genetic code in two manners: having more than one tRNA (with a specific anti-codon) for a particular amino acid; and 'wobble' base-pairing, i.e. permitting non-standard base-pairing at the 3rd anti-codon position. Lineage: Eukaryota; Fungi; Ascomycota; Sordariomycetes; Glomerellales; Plectosphaerellaceae. The record is from Rfam.
UCCCGGGUAGCUCAAUUGGUUAGAGCUUUGGACUUUUAAGCAUCAGCAUAACAAUCCAAGGGCUGUGGGUUCGAGUCCCACCUCGGGAG